GUCGGGAAUAUUGCGCAAUGGAGGAAACUCUGACGCAGUGACGCCGCGUAUAGGAAGAAGGUUUUCGGAUUGUAAACUAUUGUCGAUAGGGAAGAUAAAAGACUGUACCUAUCAAGAAAGCUCCGGCUAACUACGUGCCAGCAGCCGCGGUAAUACGUAGGGAGCAAGCGUUAUCCGGAAUUAUUGGGUGUAAAGGGUGCGUAGACGGGAUGUCAAGUUAGUUGUGAAAUACCUCGGCUCAACUGAGGAACUGCAACUAAAACUAACAUUCUUGAGUGCAGGAGAGGAAAGUGGAAUUCCUAGUGUAGCGGUGAAAUGCGUAGAUAUUAGGAAGAACAUCGGUGGCGAAGGCGACUUUCUGGACUGUAACUGACGUUGAGGCACGAAAGUGUGGGGAGCAAACAGGA
RNAcentral lists this ribosomal RNA (407 nucleotides) under uncultured bacterium. RNAcentral's name for it is "bacterial SSU rRNA". It matches the Rfam family "Bacterial small subunit ribosomal RNA", at positions 354 to 777 of the family's 1533-position model. The record is from RNAcentral.